Molecule: ribosomal RNA, 486 nt
Filed under: uncultured Cryomorphaceae bacterium
Lineage: Bacteria; Pseudomonadati; Bacteroidota; Flavobacteriia; Flavobacteriales; Cryomorphaceae
Description: bacterial SSU rRNA
Rfam family: Bacterial small subunit ribosomal RNA
Source: RNAcentral
GAUGAACGCUAGCGGCAGGCUUAACACAUGCAAGUCGAGGGGUAACAGGGAGAAGCUUGCUUUUCCGCUGACGACCGGCGCACGGGUGCGUAACACGUAUGCAACCUACCUUUCACAGGAGGAUAGCCCCGAGAAAUCGGGAUUAAUACUCCAUAACAUCACGGAUUCGCAUGUUUCUGUGAUCAAAGUUCCGACGGUGAAAGAUGGGCAUGCGGCCUAUUAGUUUGUUGGUGAGGUAACGGCUCACCAAGACUACGAUAGGUAGGGGGUCUGAGAGGAUGAUCCCCCACACUGGUACUGAGACACGGACCAGACUCCUACGGGAGGCAGCAGUGAGGAAUAUUGGUCAAUGGACGAAAGUCUGAACCAGCCAUGCCGCGUGCAGGAAGACGGCCCUCCGGGUUGUAAACUGCUUUUAUGUGGGAAUAAACCCUUGGACGUGUCCAGGGCUGAAGGUACCACACGAAUAAGGAUCGGCUAACUCCG